UUUUGAUUUUUCAAAACAGAAUUCUGUAUUUUCCGUUUCUUUCGAGUUGCGUGACAGUUUAUUUUGCAUUAUUAUAAUUCUUUAGUAUAUUUCAAAGAUUUUAAUAUGGCAUCUACAGCAUAUUCUACUCCAGAGAGUCGUUGUGUAAAUUGUGUUGUACGAUUUCAACAUGUGCAAAAAUGUGUCUGAGAUAGCUGGAGACUUACGCCAACUGACCCAUGCAUGGAUUUUUCGUGAGUUAAACCUACUAGACUCAGUGUGUGGAAAAUGCUUAUUGAUAUUACAAGAUAGUAUUUAAACUGGUCAAUCAACAAGGAGAUUUGGGUACAGGAAUAUUUGUAUUCCAUGUGGGGCUUCAAUAUUAAGAGCAUAUCAAACUCAUACUGUACCUAUAGACUCUGCAGAAAGGAGUAGUAUUUUGCAGUGGAUACCCUCACACCAGAUGGAAUAUUUACAGCAAGUCUUGCUGGCUGAAAACAACCAGAGUGGUGCAUCGGCUCAGGCAACAUGAUAGUAACAGAGACAUAGAAGUUCAAACAAUGAGUGCUGAAGUUGUCAAUACUACUAUCUCAUAUCCACCACCUAUGCCUGAACUUGUUAUGCCUAUGCCUAUUUCCAGAGUAGCACCAACAAUUAAUGUCUAAUUACAAGCAUGCUGCUUCAACUUCCCAUCACUGUAUUUUAAGAUUAUGUGAAAAUGUUUCUCGACUCUUAGUACCUGUAAUACUAAAAAAAAGAUUGAAUACUCAUUUUAUGUGCCCGGUUGUGAAUAAAAAAAUAUAAAGAUAAUUCUC
Molecule: long non-coding RNA, 794 nt
Organism: Leptidea sinapis
Lineage: Eukaryota; Metazoa; Arthropoda; Insecta; Lepidoptera; Pieridae
Exons: 3
Source: RefSeq, a predicted model, not a curated record